Molecule: ribosomal RNA, 253 nt
Filed under: uncultured bacterium
Lineage: Bacteria
Description: partial 16S ribosomal RNA
Rfam family: Bacterial small subunit ribosomal RNA
Source: RNAcentral
UACGGGGGGGGCAAGCGUUGUUCGGAAUUACUGGGCGUAAAGCGUGCGUAGGUGGCGUGUUAAGUGUGAUGUUAAAUCGUGUGGCUCAACCAUAUCGAUGUGUCGCAUACUGGCAUGCUAGAGGACAGCAGAGGCAAGUGGAAUUGGUAGUGUAGCAGUGAAAUGCGUAGAUAUUACCAGGAACACCAAUGGCGAAGGCAGCUUGCUGGGCUACUCCUGACACUGAGGUACGAAAGCGUGGGGAGCGAACAGG